Molecule: long non-coding RNA, 417 nt
Organism: Dermacentor silvarum
Lineage: Eukaryota; Metazoa; Arthropoda; Arachnida; Ixodida; Ixodidae
Exons: 3
Source: RefSeq, a predicted model, not a curated record
CUGGGAAAUGCGUCUCGUUAUGGCUAGUGCACUGUAUGCACUUGCAUUGUGUGUGGCAGUUAGCUUGUUCAUUUUGAGCCCUUGGAUAGUGCGCGGGCAGCUGGUUGACGUAAUAUACGACGUUAACGUCACAUCAGAAGGUCAAUGCCAUUUCAAUGGAACAUACUAUCCUAACGGCAAUUUCAGUACGUGGUUUCCUAAGUGCUAUAUGGCAUUGUGCAACACAACAGUUAAAGAGCUGACGCUUGUUGUGUGCGAUGCGAAAUCGUACUCCACAUGUGAUAUGCCGGAACCGCCAAAGGAUGGAUACCCUGCAUGUUGCCCUGAUCCGAUCUGCUGAAGAGAGACAGCGAGCCAUAACAUUGAAUAAAGGGAACUGCGGGAAAGCCACCAAACUUAAAAUAUUUGUCUGAAGUU